This 686-nucleotide ribosomal RNA is filed under the name Micromonospora sp. 8G104. Its description in RNAcentral is "bacterial SSU rRNA". It matches the Rfam family "Bacterial small subunit ribosomal RNA", at positions 45 to 753 of the family's 1533-position model. The record is from RNAcentral. Lineage: Bacteria; Bacillati; Actinomycetota; Actinomycetes; Micromonosporales; Micromonosporaceae.
UGCUUACCAUGCAGUCGAGCGGAAGGCCCUUCGGGGUACUCGAGCGGCGAACGGGUGAGUAACACGUGAGCAACCUGCCCUAGGCUUUGGGAUAACCCUCGGAAACGGGGGCUAAUACCGAAUAGGACCUUCCCCCGCAUGGUGGGGGGUGGAAAGUUUUUCGGCCUGGGAUGGGCUCGCGGCCUAUCAGCUUGUUGGUGGGGUGAUGGCCUACCAAGGCGACGACGGGUAGCCGGCCUGAGAGGGCGACCGGCCACACUGGGACUGAGACACGGCCCAGACUCCUACGGGAGGCAGCAGUGGGGAAUAUUGCACAAUGGGCGGAAGCCUGAUGCAGCGACGCCGCGUGAGGGAUGACGGCCUUCGGGUUGUAAACCUCUUUCAGCAGGGACGAAGCGCAAGUGACGGUACCUGCAGAAGAAGCGCCGGCCAACUACGUGCCAGCAGCCGCGGUAAGACGUAGGGCGCGAGCGUUGUCCGGAUUUAUUGGGCGUAAAGAGCUCGUAGGCGGCUUGUCGCGUCGACCGUGAAAACUUGGGGCUCAACCCCAAGCCUGCGGUCGAUACGGGCAGGCUAGAGUUCGGUAGGGGAGACUGGAAUUCCUGGUGUAGCGGUGAAAUGCGCAGAUAUCAGGAGGAACACCGGUGGCGAAGGCGGGUCUCUGGGCCGAUACUGACGCUGAGGAG